CUCCCUCCCCGUGAUCCUGAAGAUUGGCGCAAAGAGAUUCACCUAUCUUUCUUACGAAGCUUGGCAUGCGUGUGAAGUAGAGGAUUUGUACGUUCAGAUCUUGCAAGGCAUUGGAUUCGAGUUCUCCUAGGGAUUUUGAUCCCUAUUCCACUGCAUAUUUGGUAUGUUAUGUUACCACUAUUAUAAAAAAAUUUUCAAAUGCACUCUGGCGAUAAGAUCAAAUCGGAUGAAUAUUUUCUUCAUUUGAUCUUGUACAUAUAGUAGCAUACAUUAGGCUUCUAAUAGUACU
Molecule: long non-coding RNA, 289 nt
Filed under: Elaeis guineensis (African oil palm)
Lineage: Eukaryota; Viridiplantae; Streptophyta; Magnoliopsida; Arecales; Arecaceae
Description: long non-coding RNA (EGUI_LNC052310)
Source: RNAcentral